Molecule: ribosomal RNA, 521 nt
Filed under: uncultured bacterium
Lineage: Bacteria
Description: partial 16S ribosomal RNA
Rfam family: Bacterial small subunit ribosomal RNA
Source: RNAcentral
UGGGGAAUUUUGGACAAUGGGCGAAAGCCUGAUCCAGCAAUGCCGCGUGUGUGAAGAAGGCCUUCGGGUUGUAAAGCACUUUUGUCCGGAAAGAAAUCCUUGGCUCUAAUACAGUCGGGGGAUGACGGUACCGGAAGAAUAAGCACCGGCUAACUACGUGCCAGCAGCCGCGGUAAUACGUAGGGUGCAAGCGUUAAUCGGAAUUACUGGGCGUAAAGCGUGCGCAGGCGGUUUGCUAAGACCGAUGUGAAAUCCCCGGGCUCAACCUGGGAACUGCAUUGGUGACUGGCAGGCUAGAGUAUGGCAGGAGGGGGGUAGAAUUCCACGUGUAGCAGUGAAAUGCGUAGAGAUGUGGAGGAAUACCGAUGGCGAAGGCAGCCCCCUGGGCCAAUACUGACGCUCAUGCACGAAAGCGUGGGGAGCAAACAGGAUUAGAUACCCUGGUAGUCCACGCCCUAAACGAUGUCAACUAGUUGUGGGGAUUCAUUCUUAGUAACGUAGCUAACGCGUGAAGUUGACCG